RNAcentral lists this long non-coding RNA (660 nucleotides) under Coffea arabica (coffee). Its description in RNAcentral is "long non-coding RNA (CARA_LNC001690)". Lineage: Eukaryota; Viridiplantae; Streptophyta; Magnoliopsida; Gentianales; Rubiaceae. The record is from RNAcentral.
ACAUUCAUGACUAAGUUCAAAUUCUUUUCUAAAUGAAGUCCGUUUUGUUAUGCCUUGCUACACUGAUAGCGUUAGCAUGACAUAGCAGACAGCACUAGUUUUCUACAACUUAAUGUAUUAAAGAUUUUGAGAAAAUGCUUGGGGAAGUUGUGAGGUGGGAAAGCACUUUUUUAUCUCUCAGAAUGAUGUAUAAUUGAUCUAUCAUGUGAAACUAUCUUGACUUGUCAUGCUUUGAUUAUAAGGAGCCCUUUACUUAUUUUUCAAGGCAGAAUUGGUACCCCUGUUUGGUUAUCCUAAAACUUGAGAGGAGAGAAGCUGAAAAAGGAGGUAUUAUUCUUGUUGACAAAUGAGAUAAGUCAUUAACCAUUAACAUCCUUGUUGACAAAUGAAAAAAUGAGAUGGUUGUUAUGGGUUAACAUAAUAUUCUAAGCUGGAAAGAUCUGCCAGUGCUAAUAUGUUGCAGGGCUUGGUUAACCUAAAACUUGAGAGGAGAGAAGCUGAAAAAGGAGGUAUUAUUCUUGCAUGAAUAGGGUCUUCAGGAAGUGAGAUAAGUCAUUAACCUUUAAUAUCCUUGUUGACAACAUGAAAAAAUGAGAUGGUUGUUAUGGGUUAACAUAAUAUUCUAAGCUGGAAAGAUCUGCCAGUGCUAAUAUGUUGCAG